GGGGCCGUCGUCCAGCUUGGUCUAGGAUACCAGCCUGAUCCGCUGGAGAUCGCCGGUUCAAAUCCGGCCGGCCCCA
Molecule: transfer RNA, 76 nt
Filed under: Nitrososphaeria archaeon
Lineage: Archaea; Thermoproteati; Nitrososphaerota; Nitrososphaeria
Description: tRNA-Ile
Rfam family: tRNA
About the family: Transfer RNA (tRNA) molecules are approximately 80 nucleotides in length. Their secondary structure includes four short double-helical elements and three loops (D, anti-codon, and T loops).
Source: RNAcentral